UACGUAGGGUGCGAGCGUUAUCCGGAAUUAUUGGGCGUAAAGAGCUCGUAGGCGGCUCGUCGCGUCUGCUGUGAAAGCCCGGGGCUUAACCCCGGGUCUGCAGUGGGUACGGGCGGGCUAGAGUGCGGUAGGGGAGACUGGAAUUCCUGGUGUAGCGGUGAAAUGCGCAGAUAUCAGGAGGAACACCGGUGGCGAAGGCGGGUCUCUGGGCCGUAACUGACGCUGAGGAGCGAAAGCAUGGGUAGCGAACAGG
RNAcentral lists this ribosomal RNA (253 nucleotides) under uncultured bacterium. RNAcentral describes it as "partial 16S ribosomal RNA". It matches the Rfam family "Bacterial small subunit ribosomal RNA", at positions 524 to 776 of the family's 1533-position model. The record is from RNAcentral.